Non-coding RNA from Sphagnurus paluster, 82 nucleotides. Lineage: Eukaryota; Fungi; Basidiomycota; Agaricomycetes; Agaricales; Lyophyllaceae. The record is from the annotation of a GenBank genome assembly.
GCAUUAAUGGGGUAGUGGUAACCUGGGUCGUUGCCAUCGAGCUGCGCUCGACCCGCCGGGGGUUCGAUUCCCUCUUAAUGCA